RNAcentral lists this transfer RNA (71 nucleotides) under Acetes chinensis (northern mauxia shrimp). RNAcentral's name for it is "tRNA-Ser". It matches the Rfam family "tRNA". Rfam says of the family: Transfer RNA (tRNA) molecules are approximately 80 nucleotides in length. Lineage: Eukaryota; Metazoa; Arthropoda; Malacostraca; Decapoda; Sergestidae. The record is from RNAcentral.
AGUUAUUUGGCUGAACAGGAAAGCAUGUGUUUUGAAAGCUCACUAUAGAGGUUCAAAUCCUCUAAUAACUU